Molecule: non-coding RNA, 72 nt
Organism: Oenanthe melanoleuca
Lineage: Eukaryota; Metazoa; Chordata; Aves; Passeriformes; Muscicapidae
Source: the annotation of a RefSeq genome assembly
UCCCUGGUGCUCUAGUGGUCAGGAUUUGGCACUCUCACUACCGUGGCCUGGGUUCAAUUCCCAGCCAGGGAA